Zophobas morio is the source of this 244-nucleotide long non-coding RNA. RefSeq lists it as uncharacterized. Lineage: Eukaryota; Metazoa; Arthropoda; Insecta; Coleoptera; Tenebrionidae. The transcript is spliced from 3 exons. The record is from RefSeq and is a predicted model, not a curated record.
ACGUGAAUUUUGUUAGAACAUCACUCAUUAUGCAGCUCUUGCUUCUGUGGCCUUCAUUCGCAUUUACAAACUUCGGAUUGAAAUCUUCAUAGCGGCGUCUAAUAAGAAAACUAUCCGAAAGACAAUAUUAGCACUCAAGGCAAAGCUUCUACUUUAGCAAGUUUUCUCGUUAUUUAACCCGAAGGUACAAGGAAUCAGGCCGGUAGUUCGCUAAGAUUGCACCCUCACAUACAGGUAAUACAGA